Molecule: long non-coding RNA, 2084 nt
Filed under: Zalophus californianus (California sea lion)
Lineage: Eukaryota; Metazoa; Chordata; Mammalia; Carnivora; Otariidae
Description: lncRNA (ENSZCAG00015005662.1)
Source: RNAcentral
AUGCCACUCGAGGAACACUUAGUUGAGCCCCUUCGCGACGCUGCUGCAGCUCUCCUCUCCCUCCUCCCCUCCCACCUGCGGGGAACCGGGGUCCCAACCGCCCAGACUGCGUCAUGGAAUCCGCUCGCUCCUUUCAAGUAUAUCGCUCCACCUUCUUCCUCGGGGUCGACUCCUGAUUGGUGUGGUCACUCAGCCGCCCUCUCCGCCCCGCCGGUGUGGCUCCGCCCCCAGGACGGCCACAGGCUCCUCCUCCCCGUUCCCCGCCUUGCGCUGCUCCUCCAGCUAAUCUACUGGCGGCGCGCGGAGAAGUUCUGGGCAAAGUACCGGGAACUGGCCGCGCGACCGCAGCGCCACCGAGCCAGGCAGGGCAGUGCAAGGAGACCCCAGCGCAAGGCGGCCGGUGCACGGCGCGGGCUCGGGCCCCGCUGUCCUUCAGCGAGCGGCCGUCCCCGCCUCGGGCUCCUGCGGCUGGCACGGGAACUGUCGGCUGCGCGUUGCGGAGGGACCGGAGAAGCGGGCUUUGCCGCCUCCCGAGUGUGUGGACCAAGCCCGAAGCCGCACACCGGAGAAGUUGGCGGCGUCCCCGGCGGCGGAGCGUGCAGGGAAGAACCGGCUGGUGGGGCAGCCCCGAGCAGGGGAGAUUGCGGUCGCGGCCGGCGCCAGGCUCCGGGGAGGUAGGGCCGUGGUGCUGCUCUGAAGGGGACUGUUUGGCCGGGAUUGACGGCGAGGAGACGGCGAGGAGGCGCCGAACGCGGGCGCCUGGGUCCGGGCGCCGGAGGAUUCGGCGCGGAGAGGCUGUCCUGGGCAGCCGAGAGGCGCGGCGCCGGGGUGAGAGGCACAGGAAACCUGUGUAAGUGGGCCGAGCGCUAGGCUUUACCACAUCCGCAGGUUGGGGCGUGCUGGGGGGACCCGGGCGACGCUGGCCUUGCAGGCGCCCAGCUCGCCUGCGUCCCCUGGCUCGUCUUGCCCCACUCCCGGUUUUCCCCGCCAGGGGCACCCGCCCCUUGGGCGUCCGAGCGCCCUGGGAAACGUUUGCAGCCUCUAGAGUCCCUGAAGGGCAUUAUGGUAGAUCGUCCAGAUAUUUAUUUCUUUCCGGAGCAAGCCGCCGUCCUUCGUUAAAGCAACUUUCCGGCCACCUUCGGCACACUUGUACUCUUCUUCCUGCGUCUCACAAAGUACCAGUCUCAGUCGGGACCCUGAGCUGAGGGGGCUCUGAAGUCGUCGGUUUUGACCUGUCUGGGAACUGUGCUAAGGUGCAUCUGAAGUCCCCUCCCCCCCAGAUGGUGCACUGACCCUCACAGUUUGAGAACUGGGCUGGGCGUUUAUAAAUAUUUUAAGCUGCAGCUGCAAAAGAGAUCCUAACACAGGUAAAAAUGUGGGUCUUACUUCAGAUCUUCCACACUCUACAUCCGAGCAUCUUACAAGAUGAGGUUUCCCCUUCUGGCCAAAGGACACCAGGCAGGCUUGGGCUGAAAUACACCCUAGCUAAAUGACCAUUUCCGCCCCCCCCCCCCAACUUGCUGGCACUCCACCCUGUUUGGUGUUCCUCAUAGCGCUCUCUCUCUGAAAUUAUCUCCUUGGGCUGUUUACUAUCUGUCUUCCCCCACUAGAAUGGAAGUUCCAGGAAAGCAGAGACCUUACCGGUCUUGUUCAUCACUCCGUCCCCAAAGUCAGCAACAGUGCCUGACACACAGGAGGUCUGUAAGAAAAAAUUAUGGAAUAAAUGAAUAAAAACUCUGUAAAAUAUGAAGAAUGGUGGUUUCAUACCUGGUUUUGAUUUUCGUGCUUAUUUAUCCGUUUUUUUUUCUAUUGGGAAAAUUAACAAAUACCAAUAAUUACUAUAGAUUGAGUACCUACUAAGACCUGGAUAUGUGCUAGAACUUUAUAUAGAUUACCUCAUUAAACAUUAUCACAGUCUUAUUAUUAGCUAGGUAUGUCUAAGCAGAUGGGAAGUUGAAGCUCUAGCAGCUUAACCAGUUUCCCCGAGAUUAUCCUGACAGAACUAAAAUUCUAGUUCAUUUUCUGUUGUGCUGGACCACUUCCAAGAAACUAAAAUGUGGUUUUCACUAUUACAAUCAAUAGAC